RNAcentral lists this ribosomal RNA (253 nucleotides) under uncultured bacterium. Its description in RNAcentral is "partial 16S ribosomal RNA". It matches the Rfam family "Bacterial small subunit ribosomal RNA", at positions 524 to 776 of the family's 1533-position model. The record is from RNAcentral.
UACGAAGGGUGCUAGCGUUGUUCGGAAUUACUGGGCGUAAAGCGCGCGUAGGCGGCUAUUCAAGUCAGGGGUGAAAUCCCACAGCUCAACUGUGGAACUGCCUUUGAAACUGUAUAGCUAGAGUGUCGGAGGGGAUAGCGGAAUUGCUAAUGUAGAGGUGAAAUUCGUAGAUAUUAGCAGGAACACCGGUGGCGAAGGCGGCUAUCUGGACGACAACUGACGCUGAGGCGCGAAAGCGUGGGGAUCAAACAGG